GAUGAACGCUGGCGGCGUGCCUAAUACAUGCAAGUCGAGCGAACAGACGAGGAGCUUGCUCCUCUGACGUUAGCGGCGGACGGGUGAGUAACACGUGGAUAACCUACCUAUAAGACUGGGAUAACUUCGGGAAACCGGAGCUAAUAACGGAUAAUAUAUUGAACCGCAUGGUUCAAUAGUGAAAGACGGUUUUGCUGUCACUUAUAGAUGGAUCCGAGCCGCAUUAGCUAGUUGGUAAGGUAACGGCUUACCAAGGCGACGAUGCGUAGCCGACCUGAGAGGGUGAUUGCACAGCCUGGAUCUGAGGCGCGGUCCAGACUCCUGCGGGGAGCAGCAGUAGGGACUCUUCCGCAAUGGGCCAGUGCCUGACGGUGCACAGCCGCGUGAGUGCUGAAGGUCUUCUGAUCGUUAAACUAUGUUAUUAGGGGAGAUCUAAUGUGUAAGUAACUAUGCACGUCUUGACGGUACCUAAUCAGAAAGCCACGGCUAACUACGUG
Molecule: ribosomal RNA, 497 nt
Filed under: uncultured bacterium
Lineage: Bacteria
Description: partial 16S ribosomal RNA
Rfam family: Bacterial small subunit ribosomal RNA
Source: RNAcentral